CUUGCCCCUAGACAUGUCAUAGGUAUGACUGCUGUGUCACAUGUGUGUCAGUAGGUGGCAGAGAGGAGAGAGGCUUUGUCUAUGCUCAGCAUUCUGACCUGUGAACAUCUGAAUGCUUAGUAGCCUAACAUU
Molecule: small nucleolar RNA, 132 nt
Organism: Acomys russatus (golden spiny mouse)
Lineage: Eukaryota; Metazoa; Chordata; Mammalia; Rodentia; Muridae
Product: small nucleolar RNA SNORA17
Exons: 1
Source: RefSeq, a predicted model, not a curated record